Molecule: ribosomal RNA, 390 nt
Filed under: uncultured bacterium
Lineage: Bacteria
Description: bacterial SSU rRNA
Rfam family: Bacterial small subunit ribosomal RNA
Source: RNAcentral
UGAGUAACGCGUGAGGAACCUGCCUUUCAGAGGGGGACAACAGUUGGAAACGACUGCUAAUACCGCAUGACACAUUGGGGUCGCAUGGCCCUGAUGUCAAAGAUUUAUCGCUGAAAGAUGGCCUCGCGUCUGAUUAGCCUAAGUUGGUGAGGUUAAACGGGCCCACCAAGGCGACGAUCAGUAGCCGGACUGAGAGGUUGACCGGCCACAUUGGGACUGAGAUACGGCCCAGACUCCUACGGGAGGCAGCAGUGGGGAAUAUUGGGCAAUGGGCGCAAGCCUGACCCAGCAACGCCGCGUGAAGGGAAGAAGGCUUUCGGGUUGUAAACUUCUUUUGUCAGGGACGAGUAGAAGACGGUACCUGACGAAUAAGCCACGGCUAACUACGUG